AAAAGCUCAAAUUUGAAAUCUGGCUCUUUCAGAGUCCGAGUUGUAAUUUGAAGAAGGUAUCUUUGGGUCUGGCUCUUGUCUAUGUUUCUUGGAACAGAACGUCACAGAGGGUGAGAAUCCCGUGCGAUGAGAUGAUCCAGGCCUAUGUAAAGUUCCUUCGAAGAGUCGAGUUGUUUGGGAAUGCAGCUCUAAGUGGGUGGUAAAUUCCAUCUAAAGCUAAAUAUUGGCGAGAGACCGAUAGCGAACAAGUACAGUGAUGGAAAGAUGAAAAGAACUUUGAAAAGAGAGUGAAAAAGUACGUGAAAUUGUUGAAAGGGAAGGGCUUGAGAUCAGACUUGGUAUUUUGUAUGUUACUUCUUCGGGGGUGGCCUCUACAGUUUAUCGGGCCAGCAUCAGUUUGGGCGGUAGGAGAAUUGCGUUGGAAUGUGGCACGGCUUCGGUUGUGUGUUAUAGCCUUCGUCGAUACUGCCAGCCUAGACUGAGGACUGCGGUUUAUACCUAGGAUGUUGGCAUAAUGAUCUUAAGUCGCCCGCUG
Molecule: ribosomal RNA, 535 nt
Filed under: Candida tropicalis
Lineage: Eukaryota; Fungi; Ascomycota; Pichiomycetes; Serinales; Debaryomycetaceae
Description: eukaryotic LSU rRNA
Rfam family: Eukaryotic large subunit ribosomal RNA
Source: RNAcentral